This 460-nucleotide long non-coding RNA is filed under the name Bos indicus x Bos taurus (hybrid cattle). RNAcentral describes it as "lncRNA (ENSBIXG00005000767.1)". Lineage: Eukaryota; Metazoa; Chordata; Mammalia; Artiodactyla; Bovidae. The record is from RNAcentral.
GACUGAAGACAUGGGGAAGACAAGAAAUAAAUAACCAAAGUGAGAUUCUUGAAAAGGAAGCAAAGACAGAAAUCAGAAGCUGGUUAGAAGAAAUCAACCUGAGAAGCAAGAGAAGAACACUAUACAUUGUACUAAAGAAUAGAGGAAUGAAUGUGUUGGUGUGGAGAAUUAUCAUUCUACAGGUGUACAUGCAGGGCAGCAGUUCCUCUCCUGGGUUCUAUGAAUCUGGGUGGGAAAAAUUCAUCCUUGUUCUCCUAAUGUAUCUCUAACUGAAAUUUACCAGUUCUUUUCAUUAUGAAAUAGACAUAAAGAUACUACAGCAUGACAGCAUUGUCUCUGACACUAUUGCCAAUUUAAAGCACAGAUAUUUUUGUAUCAUGCUAAAACUGUUGCAGACAAUAAGAUUCUGCUGAUGUCUUCUGCUUCAAAAUUGGUCAUGAUACCUGUAGGACCAUUUUAG